UUCUGCCUACGGGGCGCAGCAGUGGGGGAUAUUGCACAAUGGGGGAAACCCUGAUGCAGCGACGCCGCGUGGGCGAAGAAGUAUUUCGGUAUGUAAAGCCCUAUCAGCAGGGAAGAAGAAAUGACGGUACCUGAGUAAGAAGCACCGGCUAAAUACGUGCCAGCAGCCGCGGUAAUACGUAUGGUGCAAGCGUUAUCCGGAUUUACUGGGUGUAAAGGGAGCGUAGACGGCAGUGCAAGUCUGGAGUGAAAGGCGGGGGCUCAACCCCCGGACUGCUCUGGAAACUGUACGGCUGGAGGGCAGGG
Molecule: ribosomal RNA, 305 nt
Filed under: uncultured bacterium
Lineage: Bacteria
Description: bacterial SSU rRNA
Rfam family: Bacterial small subunit ribosomal RNA
Source: RNAcentral